GAUGAAGAACGUAGCGAAAUGCGAUAAGUAGUGUGAAUUGCAGAAUUCAGUGAAUCAUCGAAUCUUUGAACGCACAUUGCGCCCCUUGGUAUCCCCAGGGGCAUGCCUGUUCGAGCGUCAUUUCACCACUCAAGCCUGGCUUGGUGUUGGGCGACGUCCCCUUUGGGGACGCGCCUCGAAACGCUCGGCGGCGUGGCACCGGCUUUAAGCGUAGCAGAAUCUUUCGCUUUGGAAGUCGGGGCCCCGUCUGCCGGAAGACCUACUCGCAAGGUUGACCUCGGAUCAGGCAGGGAUACCCGCUGAACUUAAGCAUAUCAAUAAGCGGAGGA
This 329-nucleotide unclassified non-coding RNA is filed under the name soil metagenome. Its description in RNAcentral is "partial contains 5.8S ribosomal RNA, internal transcribed spacer 2, and large subunit ribosomal RNA". The stretch from base 1 to 120 matches the Rfam family "5.8S ribosomal RNA", at positions 35 to 154 of the family's 154-position model. The record is from RNAcentral.